GAUGAACGCUAGCGGCAGGCCUAACACAUGCAAGUCGAGGGAGAAGCCCUUUCGGGGGCAGAAACCGGCGCACGGGUGCGUAACGCGUAUGCAACCUACCUUUCACAGGGGGAUAGCCCGAAGAAAUUUGGAUUAAUACCCCAUAAUAUUAUUGGAUGGCAUCAUUUGAUAAUUAAAACUGCGGUGGUGAAAGAUGGGCAUGCGUCCUAUUAGCUAGUUGGAGUGGUAACGGCACCCCAAGGCUACGAUAGGUAGGGGUCCUGAGAGGGAGAUCCCCCACACUGGUACUGAGACAGGGACCAGACUCCUACGGGAGGCAGCAGUGAGGAAUAUUGGUAAAUGGUCGGAAGACUGAACCAGCCAUGCCGCGUGCAGGAAGAAUGCCUUAUGGGUUGUAAACUGCUUUUAUAUGGGAAGAAUAAGGCGUACGUGUACGUUGAUGACGGUACCAUAUGAAUAAGCAUCGGCUAACUCCGUG
Molecule: ribosomal RNA, 478 nt
Filed under: uncultured bacterium
Lineage: Bacteria
Description: partial 16S ribosomal RNA
Rfam family: Bacterial small subunit ribosomal RNA
Source: RNAcentral